UCACUAACAGUGACCACAACACUCUUCUUCUUCUCCUCAACCUUGUUUAAACAAGGAAACAAAGGUGCAUUCUUCUCCUUGAAAUCAUUGUAACCCAUACCCAUAUUCUUCGGUCUCAAUUGUACUUCAAUAGGAGCUACAAUUCCCUGCUGAUUCUUUCCAAGCCCUCUUCCUUUAUAUCCCAUUUUUUCAAGCAAUUUCAUACCAAUCCCUCCACUAAACUUUUCAAAGUUUUCCUUUUUAUUAUUCUUCUCUCUCACAUGUGCCUUGUCAGCUAUUUUCUUACCCAAUGCAAUAGGUAAAAUAGUAUCAUCAUUCUCAUCAAUUUUACAGUUUCCCCGAUUCUG
Long non-coding RNA from Arabidopsis thaliana (thale cress), 347 nucleotides. RefSeq annotates it as other RNA. Lineage: Eukaryota; Viridiplantae; Streptophyta; Magnoliopsida; Brassicales; Brassicaceae. The transcript has a single exon. The record is from RefSeq.